RNAcentral lists this ribosomal RNA (417 nucleotides) under Nephrops norvegicus (Norway lobster). Its description in RNAcentral is "partial 16S ribosomal RNA". It matches the Rfam family "Bacterial large subunit ribosomal RNA", at positions 1934 to 2557 of the family's 2925-position model. The record is from RNAcentral. Lineage: Eukaryota; Metazoa; Arthropoda; Malacostraca; Decapoda; Nephropidae.
CGGUAUUUUAACCGUGCGAAGGUAGCAUAGUCACUAGUCUCUUAAUUGGAGGCUUGUAUGAAUGGUUGGACAAGAAGUAAGUUGUCUCAAGUACAAAAAUUGAAUUUGACUUUUAAGUGAAAAGGCUUAAAUAUUUUAAAGGGACGAUAAGACCCUAUAAAGCUUAAUAAUUUAAUAUAUAACCAGAUAAAUUAAAAGUUUAAUAUUCUUUAUAUAUUAAAUUAUUUCGUUGGGGCGACGAUGAUAUAAUUUGUAACUGUUUAAAUUUUAAAUACAGAGAUAUUUGUGUGUAAUGAUCCUUUUUAUUGAUUAAAAAUUUAAGUUACUUUAGGGAUAACAGCGUUAUUUAUUUUGAGAGUUCAUAUCGACAAAAAAGUUUGCGACCUCGAUGUUGAAUUAAAAAUUCGCCAUGGCGUA